GACGAACCGUCCAAACGUUAUUCGGAAUUACUGGGCUUAAAGGGUGCGUAGGCGGCGCGGAAAGUUGGGUGUGAAAUCCCUCGGCUCAACCGAGGAAUUGCGCCCAAAACUACCGUGCUCGAGGGAGACAGAGGUGAGCGGAACUGAUGGUGGAGCGGUGAAAUGCGUUGAUAUCAUCAGGAACACCGGUGGCGAAAGCGGCUCACUGGGUCUUUUCUGACGCUGAGGCACGAAAGCUAGGGGAGCGAACGGG
RNAcentral lists this ribosomal RNA (253 nucleotides) under uncultured bacterium. RNAcentral's name for it is "partial 16S ribosomal RNA". It matches the Rfam family "Bacterial small subunit ribosomal RNA", at positions 524 to 776 of the family's 1533-position model. The record is from RNAcentral.